UAAUAAGUGUUUGUUAUUGUAACAGUCAGAAAGGAUUUCUACCGAGCUUUCUAAUGUUUAUGCCCAAAUGGGGAGGGUGGAAACAUCAUUAAUAACUGGUUCCCGAGAGCCAAGGUCAGCUAUCCCAAGCCAAGCUGCUAAAGCAGCAGCACCCAUUCCUUGCCCUGCCUUCUCGGCCAUCAUGUAUGAGUUUAAAGCCAAGUCAUAUAGAGCCCUGAGAUCUGACAUGAGCAUUACUAUCAUCUUAGAUUGUGAAUCUUUGACAAGGCUCAGCACCCCAAAUUUAAAGGAGUUUAUUAUAACAGAACCAUGAAAAGACCCAGGACUCUCACCCCAGCUGCCACUCCAGCCUCUGCUGUGUUUUUUACCCAGCCCUUAUGACAUUGCUCUCUAAAGGCCUAAGAAUUCUUAACCACAUGUAAAUAUCAGAAAUCCUGUUACAAGAAAAUUCAGGUUUUAGAAUGGAAAUCUUGUUUGUAUUACUUUGAUUAUAUUUCCCAUAAAUGUAUCUUAUUUUAUACAGUCUGCUUAUACCACCACCCCAUCCCCCUAUCCCCUAUCCCCUGCCCAGGAAUUUAAUAAUAAUGGUUUAGACAUAAUAAACACUGAGAAGCACAGAAACUGGGAGCCAUGGGGAAGGGGUGAUGCAUUUCAAUUUAAUGACCGAAGAAGACAGAAAGCAACAUAGGAAAUGAAAAGGAUCUUUUGGAUGUGUCCUCAGUCACAGCCAGAUCAGGAAGCUGAAAGCGGACUUUACAAAUCCCUUUAAACCUUAUUCUGAUUCUUAAUAUGCUUAGGAAGAAAAUUCAGGCUGUUGCUAAGGAUUGAUUGUUGCGCAAGGCUGAUCCAAAAGAGCAUGAAAUUAUUUGCAUGCUUAAAGUGAAGUUUUAUCCCCACUCUAACUUGGCUUCUCCUGUUGUAUUUUGGUAAGGACUGAAUAAAAGUGGAAGGACAGUUUGAGGACCCGGGUGAAAGGCGGGUAUGGGGAGAUCUCACAAGGUGAGAGGCUGUGAGAAGAGAGGGAUGAACCUGUGUAGGGGAUGAAAGUUAAGAUAUAGUGGUGAAAGAGGAUUUUGUAGUUUCUGCUUCUUCUUUUUUUUAGUUUCUUUCUUUUCUUUGUUUCUUGUAGAUUAGUUUGUUCUUUUAAUUACAUUGUGAAAACUUUAAUAAAAACAUUUCUUCUUCUUCUAUUAUAAUUGUUAAUGCUGUUGUUGUUGUUAGGCUUCUUUGACGGUAGUACCAUCUUCACAUAGUCCAAUCUGAUUGGCUACAUAACAAUGUUGCUAAUCCCAGAAAGAGCAUAUUUUAAAAGGAAUUGUGCUGAAGUUGGACACAAUCAGAUUUCUUUUGUCGGCAGGUCAAGACACACCUGUUUGCCAAAGCUUUUGGAAAAGCAGAGUGAGAUAGUGUUUUAUGCUGAUUAUCCCUUCUCUACUGUAUUGAUGUGAUAUGGCUGUCUAGGACUAGGGGUUGUGUGUCCCAGAAACAGAAAGUGCUGCCCUGCCCUGCCACUGCUGCCAUAACAUUACUCACUCUGCCAUCUCCACCGCUGGCAGGGAAACAGCACUGGCAUUAGUGCCAAUUUCCAGUGAACCCUCUGCAAGGUUUCACAUGAUUUCAGCAAGAUCUUGUGAGAUCUUAGGAGAAAUUGGUGUUGCCUCAGGGGCUUCUGCUGCCUGAAGAGGUAGCUUCACUGCACCUAAUAGGUGGGCCAGCCCUGUCCAGGACCCUCACAAUCUGGAAAGCAGAGGCCAUGGAACAUGUCUGCUUUUGUAGAGGCUAUGCUUUGGAAUCUCUGCAUGACAAUAUGUGGUGGAUAUAUGCAAAGUAUUUCAGCUUCCAGCGCAUAUCACUAGACUGUCUCCAUAUGCCUCUCCAGUGGAAAGCUGACACUUAGCAGUCCUUAUUGUUAUUGUGAUUUUCCUGCAAGCAGACCACUGAAGUGUUGGGAAUUCUUGACUCCCACCUUCACCUUUCCACAUCAUCAUGCAUUCCUCCAUAUCUUGCUAUGGAAAAGACAGACUUUCCCACUUCUGGUUCAUGUAUUGCUUGAGAGUGAGAAUGAAGGAGACCUUAUCAGCCCGUAAUCCCUGCACUGGGCUGCUGCCAAGUUCCCCAACUCCCCAAGGACAUAAUUAUCCCUUCACAUUCUCUUAUUUUACCAAACUCUAUAUCCACUUUAAUCCUAGCACUGAAACUGGCCCAUCACCUGGAGAUGUCGUGAGGUGGUUGGACAGCUAAACAGGCAUGUCAGGUCCUUCCGACUGCAGUGUUUGUCUUGGCUGCUGUUUGAUGUUGACCCAUCAGCCAUCUCUGCCAGGAAGGGAUUGGAAACCUACAGGAUGUUGCUGUGAAGCUAACACCGAAACUACUCCUUGACAGAACUGAUGGAUUUGAUGUUGACUGAGAAUUGGGAGAAGGGAGGAGGAUAAGACUGGAUAAAAAGAAUGGGUGCAACUGAGGAGGUUAAUCUAGCACUGCCUUAAUGGGAACUGGUAAACUCCCCAUCACUAUCUUCAAGCUGUGAUCUCAGGAAGCCUCAGGCGAGUGGGAAAGUUUGUUAGGGAGCAUCCCAGGAACAAAGGGGUAAAAUUAAAAAGUGAAAUGUGAAUAAGGCUGGAGGGGAUUUGUACUAGCAAAAAUGAUAUGAUGCUACUGUAUAUAAUUCAAAGAGAGAGAAGAAUGCAUUUUGGAAAGUACCUCAGUAUCGUUUCUAAACUGGAAAGCGUCCUUAACUCAUUGUUAAUCUGGUGGAUGGGGAAAGUGAAUCACUAUGAUUAUGCCAACAUAGGGAAGGUGUAGGGAACCUUUGGUGCUCCCAAUGUUGCUGCAACUUUCAUCAUCCGUGGCCACUGGCCACAUGCACUGGUUAUCUCCUGCUUGGACUACUGCAAUGUGCUCUAUAUGGAGCUACCUUUGAAGGUGACUCAGAAAUUACAAUUAAUCCAGAAAGCAGCAGCUAGACUGGUGACUGGGAGCAGCCGCCGAGACCAUAUAACACUGGUCUUGAAAGACCUACAUUGUCUCCCAGUAUGUUUCCGAGCACAAUUCAAAGUGCUGAUGCUUUAAAGCCCUAAAUGGCCUCAGUCCUGUAUACCUGAAGGAGCGUCUCCACUCCCAUUGUUCAGCCUGGACACCGAGAUCCAGCAUGAAGGGCCUUCUGGCGGUUCCCACACUGCAAGAAGUGAAGCUACAGGGAAUCAGGCAGAGGGACUUCUCGGUAGUGGCACCCACCCUGUGGAAGGCCCUCCCAUCAGAUGUUAAGGAGAUGAGUAAUUAUAUAACAUUUAGGAAACACCUGAAGGCAGACCAGUAUAGGGAAGCUUUUUUAGGUUUAAUGUUUUACUGUGUUUGUAUACAUGCUAGAAGCCACGCAGCGUGGUUGGGUAACCCAGCCAGAUGGGUGGGGUACAAAUAAUUUAUUAUUAUUUAUUAUUAUUAUUAGGGCUGACAAGAGUUGUAGUUCAGCAACAUAUGGAGGGUCAAAGGUUCCGCACAUCUGACACUGGGAACAGGACUGUGUACAGGAAAAAUAAUAAUAAUACUUGGAUCUGAGAGAGUCACCUCAAAGCCUUCGCUGAAGCAAUUGUCUUUUCCAUUGACAACAAUAGAAAAGAUAAUAAACUACUUAACACUUUUUAUUUUUUUCAGAGUUGAUAAAUUUUCCAGACAUAGUAAGGAGGUGGAUGAAGGAGCGUGAUGAUUGGCCUCCAAUACUUGCAUUUCUCACAAAUUAAAGUAGGGGCCAUUUUUUAAAAUGUACAUGUACUCUAUACGAAAAUCAGAACUGCUUUGUUUGAUCAGACCAUAGCAAAACUGUUAAUUUGAAGUGCUAGUUCACUACCCCUCUCCCAACAGUGCCCAGUCAGCCAAACACGUCUGGAAAGCUCAGAAGCAGAUCAUCAUCUAUUUAUAAACCACUUUCCCACAAAAUUUUGCCAUAAGUGGCUCACAACAUAUCCAAGGAACAAUAAGUUAAACAAUUUUUUUAAAUUAGAAAAAAUAGAAACCAUCAUAAUAUCAAUAAGUAAACAAACAAACAAAACCCAAACCAUAUGACAUUGGAGAAAACAAUACCGAUAAGGUAAUGUAAAUUAACAUCAUAAACUAAUAAAAGAAACAAUAAUAAAAGAGGAUGGUGCAGUGCGAUCACUCCACCACCUCGUCCCUCUCCUUCUUAGUAAGUAUAAGUGACUCAGUGGUCAGAAGGUCAAGAAAUGCCACUGCCCCACCAUGCUAUCCACUACUGGGAUAAAGGGAGCUAAUAAAUAGGUGCCAUGGACACUACUUUCCCUGAGGCCUAACAUUUCUCAGGAGCCUACCUACCUGAUCAGGGGAAUGAGAAUGGAAAAGCUCUAUUUCCUGGCCGAUUCUACUCUCUAGAUGCCCCUUUCUCUCUUUGAAUUACUCUGCCUGCCUUGCUAUCUCUCCUAAUUCUUUUCCUAUGAAUAACUGCAUGGUUCAUACCUGCUUCCAGAUUAUAUAUUAACUGAGCCAGACUUUUCAAGUGCUCUCUCUUUCUGAAUACCAUUCAAAGAGUUUAAAGCCCCACACUGAGUGGCUUUGAAUCCAUCUGUGUCUGGGUGUAAGGUGUUGCCAAGAGCAUUCUUUGCAUCCUUCCACCAUGAAGAAUGACCAUGAUGUCCCAAGAAAGACCCAUGAACACCCUUUAGAGUCUCCACUGCAUACACAACAUUGUUUAGCAUCCCCAUUAAUACCUCUUUGCAUACUAGUGAAGGACAGUAUUCCAAGAGGCCUCUGCCCUAGCAGAUACCUCAUUACAAUCAAUUUUGCAUCUUUCCUCCUCUAGCCUCAACAGGAGUGCUAUUAAACAUAGUGAUGACUGGUGCCCAUUUGAACUGGUGGGGCAUAAAUUAGGGAGGCAAAUGGUAGGUAGAGCCAGAGACAAUGACAGGCAGAGCCAGUGAAUUCUAGUUUUGACCCAAUCCUCUUCCCUAUUGUGCUCUUCAAAGGUAAAACUGAGACUAAGGAAGGGAAGCUGACAGGCAAUACCACCCCACACCCCCCAGACUGUUUGUAAGUAAGAAGGCAGGCAAGCGGAGCAGUGCCCCAUUUGUUCUAACGAAG
RNAcentral lists this long non-coding RNA (5088 nucleotides) under Podarcis lilfordi (Lilford's wall lizard). The record is from RNAcentral. Lineage: Eukaryota; Metazoa; Chordata; Lepidosauria; Squamata; Lacertidae.